CUCUGCAGAUCAAACCCAGCGGGAACCUCCCGUUGAUCACCAAGAAGAGAGGAGGGAAGUUGGUCAUUGUCAACCUCCAGGCAACCAAACACGUGGCCUCUCUUAGCAGGCAAACAGGCUGGGAGUCCUUGGUUGGAGGGUUUAAACCUGCAACUCCUGCUAAACACGUAGAGAUGGCAGGACCGCCAGGCCGACCUGCGCAUCCACGGCUACGUGGAUGAGGUGAUGAUGAAGCUGAUGAAGCACCUGGGGCUGGAGGUGCCCGAG
This is a non-coding RNA of Zonotrichia albicollis (white-throated sparrow), 267 nucleotides long. Lineage: Eukaryota; Metazoa; Chordata; Aves; Passeriformes; Passerellidae. The record is from RefSeq and is a predicted model, not a curated record.